GGGGAUGCAGGGUCUAUAAUGCAGUCGACGACUCUGGUAUUGAUUGGUGCUUGCAUCAUGAUUUACAUUUGAGUGAGUGGCGAACUGGUGAGUAACACGUGGGAAACCUGCCCAGAAGCGGGGGAUAACACCUGGAAACAGAUGCUAAUACCGCAUAACAACUUGGACCGCAUGGUCCGAGUUUGAAAGAUGGCUUCGGCUAUCACUUUUGGAUGGUCCCGCGGCGUAUUAGCUAGAUGGUGAGGUAACGGCUCACCAUGGCAAUGAUACGUAGCCGACCUGAGAGGGUAAUCGGCCACAUUGGGACUGAGACACGGCCCAAACUCCUACGGGAGGCAGCAGUAGGGAAUCUUCCACAAUGGACGAAAGUCUGAUGGAGCAACGCCGCGUGAGUGAAGAAGGGUUUCGGCUCGUAAAACUCUGUUGUUAAAGAAGAACAUAUCUGAGAGUAACUGUUCAGGUAUUGACGGUAUUUAACCAGAAAGCCACGGCUAACUACGUGCCAGCAGCCGCGGUAAUACGUAGGUGGCAAGCGUUGUCCGGAUUUAUUGGGCGUAAAGCGAGCGCAGGCGGUUUUUUAAGUCUGAUGUGAAAGCCUUCGGCUCAACCGAAGAAGUGCAUCGGAAACUGGGAAACUUGAGUGCAGAAGAGGACAGUGGAACUCCAUGUGUAGCGGUGAAAUGCGUAGAUAUAUGGAAGAACACCAGUGGCGAAGGCGGCUGUCUGGUCUGUAACUGACGCUGAGGCUCGAAAGUAUGGGUAGCAAACAGGAUUAGAUACCCUGGUAGUCCAUACCGUAAACGAUGAAUGCUAAGUGUUGGAGGGUUUCCGCCCUUCAGUGCUGCAGCUAACGCAUUAAGCAUUCCGCCUGGGGAGUACGGCCGCAAGGCUGAAACUCAAAGGAAUUGACGGGGGCCCGCACAAGCGGUGGAGCAUGUGGGUUUAAUUCGAAGCUACGCGAAGAACCUUACCAGGUCUUGACAUACUAUGCAAAUCUAAGAGAUUAGACGUUCCCUUUCGGGGACAUGGAUACAGGUGGUGCAUGAUUGUCGUCAGCUCGUGUCGUGAGAUGUUGGGUUUAAGUCCCCGCAACGAGCGCACCCCUUAUUAUCAGUUGCCAGCAUUAGGUGGGCACUCUAUGAGACUGCCGCUGACAACGAAGGAGGUGGGGAUGACGUUCCAAAUUCAUCCAAUUGCCCCCCU
Molecule: ribosomal RNA, 1203 nt
Filed under: Lactiplantibacillus plantarum
Lineage: Bacteria; Bacillati; Bacillota; Bacilli; Lactobacillales; Lactobacillaceae
Description: bacterial SSU rRNA
Rfam family: Bacterial small subunit ribosomal RNA
Source: RNAcentral